GAAUAUUGGGCAAUGGGCGCAAGCCUGACCCAGCCACGCCGCGUGAGUGAUGAAGGCCUUCGGGUUGUAAAGCUCUGUGGGGAGGGAAGAAAAACCCGGGCUCGAAUAGGUCCUGGGCUUGACGGUACCUCCUUAGCAAGCACCGGCUAACUCUGUGCCAGCAGCCGCGGUAAGACAGAGGGUGCAAACGUUGCUCGGAAUCACUGGGCGUAAAGGGCGCGUAGGCGGAUUGGGAAGUCGGGUGUGAAAUCCCUGGGCUCAACCUAGGAACUGCAUUCGAAACUCCCAGUCUAGAGUGACGGAGAGGAAAGCGGAAUUCCCGGUGUAGAGGUGAAAUUCGUAGAUAUCGGGAGGAACACCAGAGGCGAAGGCGGCUUUCUGGACGUCAACUGACGCUGAGGCGCGAAAGCGUGGGGAGCAAACAGG
RNAcentral lists this ribosomal RNA (426 nucleotides) under uncultured bacterium. Its description in RNAcentral is "bacterial SSU rRNA". It matches the Rfam family "Bacterial small subunit ribosomal RNA", at positions 359 to 776 of the family's 1533-position model. The record is from RNAcentral.